RNAcentral lists this ribosomal RNA (433 nucleotides) under uncultured bacterium. RNAcentral's name for it is "partial 16S ribosomal RNA". It matches the Rfam family "Bacterial small subunit ribosomal RNA", at positions 29 to 507 of the family's 1533-position model. The record is from RNAcentral.
AACGAACGCUGGCGGCAUGCCUAACACAUGCAAGUCGAACGAGACCUUCGGGUCUAGUGGCGCACGGGUGCGUAACGCGUGGGAACCUGCACUUAGGUUCGGAAUAACUCCCCGAAAGGGGUGCUAAUACCGGAUAAUGUCUUCGGACCAAAGAUUUAUCGCCCUUGGAUGGGCCCGCGUUGGAUUAGCUAGUUGGUAGGGUAAAAGCCUACCAAGGCGACGAUCAAUAGCUGGUCUGAGAGGAUGAUCAGCCACACUGGGACUGAGACACGGCCCAGACUCCUACGGGAGGCAGCAGUGGGGAAUAUUGGACAACGGGCGAAGGCCUGAUCCAGCAAUGCCGGGUGAGUGAUGAAGGCCUGAGGGUUGUAAAGCUCUUGUACCCGGGAAGAUAAUGACGGUACCGGGAGAAUAAGCUCCGGCUAACUCCGUG